This 419-nucleotide ribosomal RNA is filed under the name uncultured bacterium. RNAcentral's name for it is "bacterial SSU rRNA". It matches the Rfam family "Bacterial small subunit ribosomal RNA", at positions 346 to 781 of the family's 1533-position model. The record is from RNAcentral.
AGGCAGCAGCAAGGAAUAUUGUGCAAUGGGCGAAAGCCUGACACAGCGACGCCGCGUGAGGGAAGAAGGCCUUCGGGUUGUAAACCUCUUUUCUCAGGGAAGAAUAAUGACGGUACCUGGGGAAUAAGUCACGGCUAACUACGUGCCAGCAGCCGCGGUAAUACGUAGGUGGCAAGCGUUAUCCGGAUUUACUGGGUGUAAAGAGGGCGCGGGCGGCUUUUCAAGUCGAAUAUAAAAUCUCCCGGCUUAACUGGGAGGGAUUAUUCGAUACUGUUGGGCUAGAGAGCAGCAGAGGGAGGUGGAAUUCCCGGUGUAGUGGUGAAAUGCGUAGAUAUCGGGAGGAACACCAGUGGCGAAGGCGGCCUCCUGGGCUGUUACUGACGCUGAGGCCCGAAAGCGUGGGGAGCAAACAGGAUAAG